CCAAAGGUGCCUAAAUGAGCCUAAGGUUCCUAAUGGGCCUAGGAUGCCUAAGUGGGCCUAAGAUGUCUAAGUGGACCUAGGGUGUCUAAAUGGGCCUAAGAAGCCUAAGUGGGUCUAGGGUGGUGCCUAAUGGGCCUAGGGUGCCCAAAUGGGCCUAAGAUGCCUAAGUGGGUCUAAGAUGUCUAAGUGGGCCUAAGGUGGUGCCUAAUGGGCUAAGUGUGCCUAAAUUGGCCUAUGGUGCCUAAAUGGGCCUAGGAUGCCUAAAUGGGCCUAGGGUGCCUAAAUGGGCCUAGGGUGCCUAAAUGGGCUUAGGAUGCCUAAGUCGGCCUAAUGUGCCUAAAUGGGCUUAGAGUGCCUAAAUGGGCCUAAGGUGCUUAAAUGAGCCUAGGGUGGUGCCUAAAUGGGCCUAUGGUCUAAAUAGGGCUCCCA
This 429-nucleotide long non-coding RNA is filed under the name Vitis vinifera (wine grape). Its description in RNAcentral is "long non-coding RNA (VVIN_LNC006552)". Lineage: Eukaryota; Viridiplantae; Streptophyta; Magnoliopsida; Vitales; Vitaceae. The record is from RNAcentral.